This 468-nucleotide ribosomal RNA is filed under the name uncultured bacterium. Its description in RNAcentral is "partial 16S ribosomal RNA". It matches the Rfam family "Bacterial small subunit ribosomal RNA", at positions 28 to 507 of the family's 1533-position model. The record is from RNAcentral.
GACGAACGCUGGCGGCGUGCUUAACACAUGCAAGUCGAACGGAAAGGCCCUGCUUUUGUGGGGUGCUCGAGUGGCGAACGGGUGAGUAACACGUGAGUAACCUGCCCUUGACUGUGGGAUAACAUCAGGAAACUGGGGCUAAUACCGGAUAUGAGCUCCUGCUGCAUGGGGGGGGUUGGAAAGUUUCGGCGGUUGGGGAUGGACUCGCGGCUUAUCAGCUUGUUGGUGGGGUAGUGGCUUACCAAGGCUUUGACGGGUAGCCGGCCUGAGAGGGUGACCGGCCACAUUGGGACUGAGAUAGGGCCCAGACUGAUACGGGAGGCAGCAGUGGGGAAUAUUGCACGAUGGGCGGAAGCCUGAUGCAGCAAUGCCGGGAGCGGGAUGACGGUCUUCGGGUUGUAAACCGCUUUCGACUGUGACGAAGAGUGAGUGACGGUAAUGGGUAAAGAAGCACCGGCUAACUACGUG